CAGCAGCCGCGGUAAUACGUAGGGUGCGAGCGUUAAUCGGAAUUACUGGGCGUAAAGCGUGCGCAGGCGAUUUUGUAAGACAGGCGUGAAAUCCCCGGGCUCAACCUGGGAAUGGCGCUUGUGACUGCAAAGCUAGAGUGCGGCAGAGGGGGAUGGAAUUCCGCGUGUAGCAGUGAAAUGCGUAGAUAUGCGGAGGAACACCGAUGGCGAAGGCAAUCCCCUGGGCCUGCACUGACGCUCAUGCACGAAAGCGUGGGGAGCAAACAGGAUUAGAUACCCCCGUAGUCCCUGUCUCUUAUAA
Molecule: ribosomal RNA, 301 nt
Filed under: uncultured bacterium
Lineage: Bacteria
Description: partial 16S ribosomal RNA
Rfam family: Bacterial small subunit ribosomal RNA
Source: RNAcentral